UACCACCCUUUAAUGUUUGAUGUUCUAACGUGGACCCGUUACCCGGGUUGCGGACAGUGUCUGGUGGGUAGUUUGACUGGGGCGGUCUCCUCCUAAAGAGUAACGGAGGAGCACGAAGGUUGGCUAAUCCUGGUCGGACAUCAGGAGGUUAGUGCAAUGGCAUAAGCCAGCUUGACUGCGAGCGUGACGGCGCGAGCAGGUGCGAAAGCAGGUCAUAGUGAUCCGGUGGUUCUGAAUGGAAGGGCCAUCGCUCAACGGAUAAAAGGUACUCCGGGGAUAACAGGCUGAUACCGCCCAAGAGUUCAUAUCGACGGCGGUGUUUGGCACCUCGAUGUCGGCUCAUCACAUCCUGGGGCUGAAGUAGGUCCCAAGGGUAUGGCUGUUCGCCAUUUAAAGUGGUACGCGAGCUGGGUUUAGAACGUCGUGAGACAGUUCGGUCCCUAUCUGCCGUGGGCGCUGGAGAACUGAGGGGGGCUGCUCCUAGUACGAGAGGACCGGAGUGGACGCAUCACUGGUGUUCGGGUUGUCAUGCCAAUGGCACUGCCCGGUAGCUAAAUGCGGAAGAGAUAAGUGCUGAAAGCAUCUAAGCACGAAACUUGCCCCGAGAUGAGUUCUCCCUGAGACUUAGAGUCUCCUGAAGGAACGUUGAAGACGACGACGUUGAUAGGCCGGGUGUGUAAGCGCAGCGAUGCGUUGAGCUAACCGGUACUAAUGAACCGUGAGGCUUAACCUUACA
This 736-nucleotide ribosomal RNA is filed under the name Salmonella enterica. RNAcentral describes it as "partial 23S ribosomal RNA". It matches the Rfam family "Bacterial large subunit ribosomal RNA", at positions 2198 to 2925 of the family's 2925-position model. RNAcentral also lists the same sequence under 1 other name. The record is from RNAcentral. Lineage: Bacteria; Pseudomonadati; Pseudomonadota; Gammaproteobacteria; Enterobacterales; Enterobacteriaceae.